UGCUCCCACGCACUUUUUAUCAUUAAAGGCCCAGUUUACAUCUGAGACUAUUUUAUUGAUCGCAUGAGUUGUUGCAUGCUGCUCUUUGAAUCCAUAUUGACUUUCCGGGAUGAUCUUCCGCUCGAUACAUUGAUUUCUUGACUAGGUCAAAACUAUUGAAUCGCGGGUUUUUUUUUAAUCUGUGAAUUUUUGUAAGUAUUUCUUUGCUUUCUUUUCUAAGUUUCCUGAUUUCUUUAUUUAUGUAAAUAUCUGUCGAAUUUCUUUCUUUUAUCUUUGGGACUGCUAUAUCUAUUGCCUGUGUGAUUUGUUCCGAUAGAGUAUCUAAGUAUUUGUCAAUUUCUGUUAAUCUUAGGUUACGAUUAGAUGGUACAUUUUCUACCCAGAAUUUGCACAAUUCCUUCUGAUAUGUAUUCCAGUUUGCUUUAUCAAAAUUAUAAUUGUAUUUGCUUAUUUUUUCUUCUAAAAAGUAUUUGUGAUCAUCUAAGUUUAUUUCAAUUACUAGUGCUUCGUGAUCGCUAUCGAAUGUAGUAGAACGCAAUUCGCCUUGGAUAAGAUUGGUUAUUUUCAUUCUGGUGUCUGCCAAUACCAGAUCUAGACAAGAGUACUAGUUCUGGAUUAUGUUCGUCUAAUAGGAUUCUUAAUUCUUCUCUUUUAUAAUUGCUGAUAAGUGA
This is a long non-coding RNA of Odontomachus brunneus, 671 nucleotides long. RefSeq lists it as uncharacterized. NCBI's taxonomy places the organism in Eukaryota, Metazoa, Arthropoda, Insecta, Hymenoptera, Formicidae. The record is from RefSeq and is a predicted model, not a curated record. The transcript is spliced from 3 exons.